RNAcentral lists this transfer RNA (85 nucleotides) under Alphaproteobacteria bacterium. Its description in RNAcentral is "tRNA-Leu". It matches the Rfam family "tRNA". From Rfam's summary of the family: Transfer RNA (tRNA) molecules are approximately 80 nucleotides in length. The record is from RNAcentral. RNAcentral also lists the same sequence under 1 other name. Lineage: Bacteria; Pseudomonadati; Pseudomonadota; Alphaproteobacteria.
GCGGGCGUGGUGAAAUUGGUAGACACGCAAGAUUUAGGUUCUUGUGCCGCGAGGUGUGGGGGUUCAAGUCCCUCCGCCCGCACCA